UUCCGGUUGAUCCCGCCGGACCCCACUGCUAUCGAGGUGGGACUAAGCCAUGCUAGUUGAGCGCACAGAACUAUGUCUGUGAGCGGCACACUGCUCAGUAACACGUAGCUAACCUACCCUUAGGACGUGGACAACCCCGAGAAAUUGGGGCUAAUCCGCGAUAGAUGUAUUGUCCUGGAAUGGUAUUACGUCUAAAGGUAUCCCAUACAUGUUUGGUAUAUGCCUAAGGAUGGGGCUGCGGCCGAUCAGGCUGUUGGUGAGGUAAUGGCUCACCAAACCUUUGACCGGUACGGGCCAUGAGAGUGGUAGCCCGGAGAUGGACACUGAGACAAGGGUCCAGGCCCUACGGGGCGCAGCAGGCGCGAAACCUCCUCAAUGCACUUACGUGCGAAGGGGCUACCUCGAGUGCCAUCUGAUGAAGGUGGCUUUUCCUAGGUCUAAAAAGCCUUGGGAAUAAGAGGGGGGCAAGACUGGUGUCAGCCGCCGCGGUAACACCAGCCCCUCGAGUGGUGGGGAUGAUUAUUGGGCCUAAAGCGUCCGUAGCCUGCCGUGUAAGUUUCCCGUUAAAUCCAGCGUCUUAAGCGUUGGACCGCGGGAAAUACUGUACGGCUAGAGAGUGGGAGAGGUCAGCGGUAUUCUGGGGGUAGGGGCGAAAUCCUUUGAUCCCCGGAGGACCACCAGUGGCGAAGGCUGCUGUCUAGAACACGUCUGACGGUCAGGGACGAAAGCUGGGGUAGCGAACCGGAUUAGAUACCCGGGUAGUCCCAGCCGUAAACGAUGCAUGCUAGGUGUUGGGUUGGCCACGAGCCACCCCAGUGCCGCAGGGAAGCCGUUAAGCAUGCCGCCUGGGAAGUACGAUCGCAAGGUUGAAACUUAAAGGAAUUGGCGGGGGAGCACCACCAGGCGUGAAGCCUGCGGUUUAAUUGGAGUCAACGCCGGG
Molecule: ribosomal RNA, 940 nt
Filed under: uncultured archaeon
Lineage: Archaea
Description: bacterial SSU rRNA
Rfam family: Archaeal small subunit ribosomal RNA
Source: RNAcentral